GGCGUCGAGUGGAGAUCCAAUCGAAAAUCGAACUGACUUCAUCUUCUGUUGGUCAACAGGAGAGCCCGUUGAAAUCCUGGACCUCUCAAUUGUCCUUUUCUCUCUCCCCGCCCACCUUCCCCUGUUCUGCCGCCUCCCCAGUCCGGCGUGCAUCAGCAGCGACAUCAGAGUCGGCGAUGGGAGGCGUCAUCGACGUUCUCGUCCCCUUAUGUUGAUGAAGUGGUGUGCCGUGGAGAUUCCUUGACCGAUUUCUUGCCGGUAAGACGGAGUCUGCCAUCUGCGUGGCUGGUCAUCGCGGUGAGCAAGGAACGACGAAGUGCGCCCCUCCGCCCUUCGGCUCGUCGUUGUGCCUUGCGUCGUCGGGUGGAGUUCCUUCCCCUGCUUCAAGCUAAUUCGGUUUUUCCCUCUCAUCCUGUCAGUUUUCUCUUUGUUGGCAUUUUCGGUUCUCUGCUGUGAGGUUUUUUAAGGUGAUUUUGUUCGCAUCUGUGAUUUGUGUCUCUGUGUUCAUCGUUUGAUGAGGGAUUCGAUGCCAAAUUCAUUUGAAUCGAUUACAGGAAAUCAUGCAAAAAAUCAAACACAUACCUGUAGAAUUGCGUUGGAUUGGAUUCCAAAAAAUAAUGAAGGAAAAAGGAAAAACAAAUCUGAUCCGAUUUUGUGGCCUGCAUGCUUACUAACUUCGUUUUUAAGAGGCUCCAGGAAAAUGUAAUUUUGGGUAGGGUUUGUCAAGCGGUGGUGCCUGAAUGUAUCUUCUCCUGUCACCUCCCUCCUUUCACAUUAGAGUUAUUGGGUCUACCUUUACUGGGUCUACUCCUGGAUCCUGCUCUAUUUAAUUAUCCUUUUUUGUGCCAAAGCAGCCAAACCGCCAAUCACCACAAAUUGUAGAUUAAUGUUUCCAGCAUUAGCUUGCUGCUCCUGGUUCCAUACCUGCAAUCAGUUGCAAAUACACCAUGUUUUGUACUACCCCCUCCCCCAAUUAAACUUUAUAAUUAAAUGAAAAAGUGUAGGAGUUUGCCUAGUGACCACAAAGCAUUUUUUGGUGCAUUGGAAUCUUGUGUAUGCUUGAAUUUAAAAUUAUGAAUUCAAAUGUUGUUGAAUUACAUGCAGGACCCAUAAACUUUGAAUUAUUAUGAUGUGAAAAAUGAUUUAUAAUACAGUAUGUGCACAAGUGUAGAUAGAUAUAAGAAAAUGAAAUAUAGGGGAAGGGAUCAUUGGUAGUGUCACCCUAAAGUGCUGGAAAAGUUUUAAGGUGCUUCCCAUAGAACAACUUCUUGGGGGAGCACUAUUGGUAUGGAAUUGCUCUUAUUCAGUUUUUUUGGGGUUUCUGAGGAUCCUCCAUGUCCCCUAGAUUAUUGACCUCACUUUGUUCUUUGUAUCGAUUUAUUGUUGUAGGCAGUUAUAAUAGUAGGAGGUAUGCGUGCUUUGUAGAAUCAUACAGAUGCUUGUUGAACAUGUGUCUUUGUUUCUGUGUCUGUGUCAACAAGAUGUUCUAGCAUCAACAAGAUCCUGAUUAGCAUGUCAACUUCCAGACAAAAAGAGUAGAGCAGCAAAAUGGAGAACCAUGGAAAAUUGGAUGGGUGGGAUGAAGUUCUGGAAGAAGAAGAUGAGUUAGCGAGUGUAUGCAAAUAUCCUAUUAGCACAUCGUACCUUUCUUAUGGAACAAGCAGAAGUAUGUUAUCUCAUUUCCAGCAUCUCUCCUCUUAGAGAGAAUGUUGUGAGCAAAGGAGGACUUUGUUUUGUUAAACUAUACCAGGUGGACAAUCUAAUGCGUGUCCUCUGUUUCCAUACUGCAGGGGGCAAAAGUGUAAAGAAGCCUAGAUUCUCAUUACGAGGAUAUGAUUUUGUUCCAUUAGAUGUUAAGACUGAUAACUUGUGCAUUGGGGAGCAAGAUGGUUCUUCUGCAGUGCCAUCAACUAAAGCUUCACAAACCAUGGUGGCUGAACGGUUGGAAAACGUUGAGGAACAAACUGAAGAUUUGGCACCAGAGUUUGCCCUUCCACCCAAAGCAAAUACUUUAGUUUCUGAGCUGCUAGAUAAUUUACAGCGUAGGGGUGGUUCUUUUGUCAGGACACCAUCUUUGUUGCACCAACAUGCUCCAAGCAUAUCAAUCAGGGAGCAGGAAGUUUCAUCCGGAGUGCCACCAACUAAAGCUUCACAAGCUUUGAUGGAUGAACCGUUUGAAAAUGACAAUGGACAAACUGAAGAGUUGCCAUCAGAGCUCCCCUGCUCGAUCAAGAGACCAAAAUUUUCAGUUGCAGAACUUCUAGAAGACCUACAGGGUAGAAGUGGUUCUUAUGUUGAGACAGCAUCUUUGUCACACCAACACACCAGAGCUAAACAUUGGAAGCCAAAGUUCCUUUCUUCCGAGAAGAAAACAAUAGCUAUUCUAGGAGACAGGAGUAUUGACAGUGAGGACCCCUUGGAGCAUGUAAUUGACGGAACAUCUAGCGAGGAGGAAGAUGCUACUCAAAACCACUUGAGUUUGGUGAACAAAGAUGAGAACCAGCAAACUAUGGCUGACCUAUUUCAAGAAGUUUUUAAUCCAACAAACAUGGAUGGUGCCAUGAAAUCAAUGAGAUCAACAGGAGCUGGUAACUAUGGAAGAAUGCAACAGAUUAUGCACAUGGAGAAAGAUUGGCAUGUGGAAUUCUCGAGGCAGUAUAGCAGAGAGCACAGUUAUUCAGGUGAUUUAAAGGGAACUACUGUUCAGAUUAUGUCAAGGUCAUUGGAAGGAAAGCUAACAGUCUGCAGCUGCAUGUUCCAGGAAAAGGGCAAUGUCUGUGAUCCAUGUCUCCAUCUUCCAAAAACUCCUAUCUACUCAUGUGGCAGAUGCCACUAUAAGUAAUGCCUCAGCAGACGGCACCAUGGAUGAAAGCAGAACUAGGAGGACUAUUAUCUUCAGUCCAAAGAUAUGUAACAAUGUAGAUCUUCUGGUUGGAAACAUAAUUCAUAUCUUCCCACCAUGGAAGGAAGUUAAAAUACAAGAAGAGCAUGUGAUUAUUUGCACCUACUUCUCGCACCACCACCGGACUUGAUACUCGGAGAUAUUUCUGUGCUAGCUGCAAAGCUAGAGGCAGACCGCCAGCAUAACCGUUGCUGACAGUUUAAUGUUGAUGUACUCGCAGGGUCUAUUCUGUUUGUUUUGUAAUCACAAGUGUACUGGCUGCAAAGCUAUAGGCAGACCGCAAGCAUAACCGUUCCUGAUAGCCUAAUGCUGAUGUACUUGCAGUCUCUCUUCUGUUUUACAAUCACAAGUUACUGAGGCCUAGUUCGGAUUCUCUAA
This is an RNA transcript of Zea mays, 3280 nucleotides long. RefSeq lists it as uncharacterized. The transcript has 8 exons. The record is from RefSeq and is marked validated. NCBI's taxonomy places the organism in Eukaryota, Viridiplantae, Streptophyta, Magnoliopsida, Poales, Poaceae.